This 1397-nucleotide long non-coding RNA is filed under the name Malus domestica (apple). RNAcentral describes it as "long non-coding RNA (MDOM_LNC003924)". Lineage: Eukaryota; Viridiplantae; Streptophyta; Magnoliopsida; Rosales; Rosaceae. The record is from RNAcentral.
GUUGACACACCCCGUCCCGAAGGAGGGCAUGCUGGCCGUCACGUGAGAGUGACGUAACCAUUUGCACAGUACGGAAGCUUUAAUUAUACAACUUCAAAGUUAAUACACCCGAAGGUGCGUCCUAAUUUGGUCCAUUCUGUCAGAACCCCGCUGAAUUCCUCGUAGCCACCACACCUCAGCUAUUCUUUAACCUGGAGGGGCGCAAAACCAAAAUUGAGUGGGUCAGUAAAACAAAUCCUUUCAAAUCCAACUUUUCUUUAAAACAUUGUAACCCCUCUCCGUAAAACUUGUAUACUUUCCCAGAAAUGUAAAAUAUAAAUAUAUAUACAUAUAUUCUCAAUACUUCAAUUCAUUAACUCAACAUUUUUCAGUACAAAUAUGCCAUGCCAUGUCGGAAUUCAACAGUUAAGUAUGAAUGCAUCAACAAUAAUUAUAUCAGGUGCAAGAAGUAAUCAACCGGAUGCCCUUUAAUGGCCCUGUACGGUUGAACCUAGAGCUGAAAAUCUAUCACUCUCACUCUGCCGGAGUCACCUCUGUGACCUGUACGGCCUUCUGCACAUAAGUCGGAACCACCUAAUGUAGUCUGUACGACUUAAUGGUUAAUAUUACGCUCUAGUGCUUUCUCAUCAAUCAUCUGUGCACAUAAUCUAAGGUCACCCACCAGUCGAAAUCUCACUAACACUCUACGACUGGCCCGUCGCACCCACUCCGCGUGGACUGUGCGACCAGCAUCUACUUGGAUCCAAGGCGAGCGUGCGAUGCGGUGAAUACUAUAAGCACUAAACCAUGGUGCAGGAUUUGAGCUCAAUAUACAUCAACAUCAUCAUAACAGUAAUUAAAUACUCACCUGAUACUCACCUGUGCGUCCGCCGCACCAUUCAUUCAUAUGCAUCAUAUCUCAAUUCAUACUUUUCAUAUCAUUUCAUGCAUGGCAAUUCGAUUCACAUUUCUAUAUACUUUUCAUAUACUUUUAUGCAUGGCAUCUCAAUUCACAUUUCAAUAUACUUUUCAUAUAAUUUUAUACAUUGCAUUUAAAGCAUACUUUCAUUAAAUUUCAAUUUCUGGGAAAACGUCAAGUAUAUAUAUAUACGGAAAACAAAACUGCCCACUCACCUGGAGUUCGCCCUACAACUCCCCUAGCACAAUACGCCAAGGCGUCAUGACAAUCGGCGCCUAAAACAAUAAUCAAUUCCAACCUUAGAAUUCAUAUCGAUAGAAUAUAUAACUUAUAUAAAAUACGUCACUACGUAGUUCGAUCCGGAAGAUCCACCACUCAGAUUUUAAAUCCAUAACUUCCAGAGGUCCACAAUAUAUCUCUAGGAUAACCUCCUAAAAUUUCAUUACCAUCCAACGGUCGGAUCUCCGUCAAUUAACAAAACUAGGUGACGGUUAACAUU